Molecule: ribosomal RNA, 619 nt
Filed under: Chalastonepsia hokkaidensis
Lineage: Eukaryota; Metazoa; Arthropoda; Insecta; Diptera; Mycetophilidae
Description: eukaryotic LSU rRNA
Source: RNAcentral
GAACAUCGACAUUUUGAACGCAUAUUGCGGUCCAUACUGACUAGUUUCUUAAUCGAAGCUGUAUGGACCACACAUGGUUGAGGGUCGUUAGUUUAUGCUAACUGAAUUGCUUUUGUUUUUGCUUCGGCACAAACAUAUAGCUCAUAUGGAGGUGUUGUCAAUCUUAAGUGUAUUGCCAUCCCUUGAAAACUACCAUAAUGUGUAUAUAUUAUUGGUACACAAUUUCAAUUUAUUUGUGAAACGUUUGUUUAUAUGCCAUACUACGUAUACUCGUAUAUGCAAAGAGAACAAAUGUCCACCAAAUAUUUUGUAUGCGUGUGCCCACAUAUACCGGAGGCUUGAAGUUAGUAAACUUUAAUUAAGCACUUAAACUUAAUUGUUUUUUUGCGAUUUGAAUGCUAUUUGAAAACUUCUCCUAGUCUCGUCGUGAGUGUAUGCGGGCACAAUAUACGUGUAUAUAAAUAUGGACAGUUAUUCGUUAAUUCUCUUUUGCGUGUGCUUGUUGGUAUUGUGGUGUAAAACGAUCCGGAAAAUGUUGAAUGCUGGUGGCGUUUCACGUUAACAAAAGUAAAUUGCAAAUUGAUAAACAAAUAAAAGCGACCUCAGCUCAUGUGAGACU